GAAGGUAUAGCUCAGUGGUAGAGUGGGUACUUAGUAUGCACGAGGUCCUGGGUUCAACCCCCAGUACCUCG
Molecule: transfer RNA, 71 nt
Filed under: Camelus bactrianus (Bactrian camel)
Lineage: Eukaryota; Metazoa; Chordata; Mammalia; Artiodactyla; Camelidae
Also listed under: 2 other names
Rfam family: tRNA
About the family: Transfer RNA (tRNA) molecules are approximately 80 nucleotides in length. Their secondary structure includes four short double-helical elements and three loops (D, anti-codon, and T loops). Further hydrogen bonds mediate the characteristic L-shaped molecular structure. tRNAs have two regions of fundamental functional importance: the anti-codon, which is responsible for specific mRNA codon recognition, and the 3' end, to which the tRNAs corresponding amino acid is attached (by aminoacyl-tRNA synthetases). tRNAs cope with the degeneracy of the genetic code in two manners: having more than one tRNA (with a specific anti-codon) for a particular amino acid; and 'wobble' base-pairing, i.e. permitting non-standard base-pairing at the 3rd anti-codon position.
Source: Rfam by way of RNAcentral